GAUGAACGCUGGCGGCGUGCCUAAUACAUGCAAGUCGAGCGAACAGACGAGGAGCUUGCUCCUCUGACGUUAGCGGCGGACGGGUGAGUAACACGUGGAUAACCUACCUAUAAGACUGGGAUAACUUCGGGAAACCGGAGCUAAUACCGGAUAACAUGUUGAACCGCAUGGUUCAACAGUGAAAGACGGUCUUGCUGUCACUUAUAGAUGGAUCCGAGCCGCAUUAGCUAGUUGGUAAGGUAACGGCUUGCCAAGGCAACGAUGCGUAGCCGACCUGAGAGGGUGAUCGGCCACACUGGAACUGAGACACGGUCCAGACUCCUACGGGAGGCAGCAGUAGGGAAUCUUCCGCAAUGGGCGAAAGCCUGACGGAGCAACGCCGCGUGAGUGAUGAAGGUCUUCGGAUCGUAAAACUCUGUUAUUAGGGAAGAACAAAUGUGUAAGUAACUAUGCACGUCUUGACGGUGCCUAAUCAGAAAGCCACGGCUAACUACGUG
RNAcentral lists this ribosomal RNA (497 nucleotides) under uncultured bacterium. RNAcentral's name for it is "partial 16S ribosomal RNA". It matches the Rfam family "Bacterial small subunit ribosomal RNA", at positions 28 to 507 of the family's 1533-position model. The record is from RNAcentral.